UGAAUGGCUCCAAAUGUUGUGACAAAGC
Molecule: non-coding RNA, 28 nt
Filed under: Rattus norvegicus (Norway rat)
Lineage: Eukaryota; Metazoa; Chordata; Mammalia; Rodentia; Muridae
Source: RNAcentral